Molecule: long non-coding RNA, 219 nt
Filed under: Brassica napus (rape)
Lineage: Eukaryota; Viridiplantae; Streptophyta; Magnoliopsida; Brassicales; Brassicaceae
Description: long non-coding RNA (BNAP_LNC000992)
Source: RNAcentral
AUUUAGUUGUUGAUGUUUUUUGAUGUGUUGGAAAACACCUAGAUGAUGUUAGGUUGUUAAAUGGUAUGCGUGAAUGAGAAUGAUUAUGGUUAUGAGUUGUGUGAUGAUAAUGAUUGGAAUAAUGACUUGUGUAGAAGAACGAUAGGGAUGAUGUGAUGUAUGAUGAAGUGACACCGAAUCUGGGCAUAAGUGACUAUUGUACUGGAGGGUGGACAGUUC